Molecule: long non-coding RNA, 852 nt
Organism: Suricata suricatta (meerkat)
Lineage: Eukaryota; Metazoa; Chordata; Mammalia; Carnivora; Herpestidae
Exons: 3
Source: RefSeq, a predicted model, not a curated record
CCAAGAAAGACAGACUUUUUGGAUCUCUGUCUGGGGACAGAGUCUGGCUCUCCCAUGCACUGUCCAGGUGGUGUCCAUGUGAGACGAGGGAGGACCUCGUUUUCCUGAUAGGUCAUGCGGGGAUGCUGAUGCUUUCCCAGAGGGCGUGUUGGGAGAUGCCAUCACCUCACAAGCUCCUUGAGACAGGACUUUGUCCUCCUUUCUGCCAUCAUUCGAACCCCUAAUAAUUACCUGACAGAUGGAAAACAAUCAUGAAAUAUUUAGGAAUAACUGAAUAAUUGGAUGCAAAGUGCCUGACAGAGCAGAGGGGAUGCUCUCACUUGGACUCUCCCCCGGGACCACUGUGUUCUCAUCAGAGCCGAGAGAUGACGUUCACGUACACUUACGAGGCAGAUGGGGGACUACUGUCGAUGCCUUCUUGGACUGCCAUGGAGAUUGAGGCUCAAAGAGGUCACACAGAUAUUUCAGUGUAUGUGGAAGAUUAAAUCCAAAAUCAUGGGAGAGAUGUUUUGAGAUGCUCAUCCAGAAAUUAUGCAUCAGGAUAAAGGCUGUCCCACUCAAAGAAGUAACCUGACAAAGUGGCUCAGUGAUUCCAAGGAUGAAAUUGUCACUAUCACUUGAAGACUUCAUGGGUCACAGACGUCCUAAAGGGCACUUCUCUGCAAGGGAAGCAAUCCCAGCUCUAUAGCCAUGGGGUUGGGUAUAAAUUCUGAGUCCAUCACUCACCAGCUGUGUGACUACAAGCCAGUCCCUUAGCCUCUCUGAGACACCACAUCAUCAUCUACAAAAUAAGAUCAGCAAAAUCCACAUAAUGACAUUGUGAGGAAUAAAAAUCCAUGAGUAGCGCAAUGA